This is a non-coding RNA of Pelobates cultripes (western spadefoot toad), 836 nucleotides long. NCBI's taxonomy places the organism in Eukaryota, Metazoa, Chordata, Amphibia, Anura, Pelobatidae. The record is from the annotation of a GenBank genome assembly.
CUACCUUUCUGGUUAGAGCAGUUACAAUAUAAGGAUCCAAUAAUUCAAAAUCCUGCGGCAACUAAAGCAGCCAUAUUGUGUUUCUUUGAGAUUUCAGCAGUUUUUUUUUUUUUUAAACUGAGAACAUUCAUUUUAAUAUAAACAAGGAUUUUCUACUUGCGUUGGUUAAAGCCAAAUCUUGCUACAUAAUUUGAAUAUUGCAUGGAUGUAAGUCAGCAAGUUAUGAAAGACAGAUAUACAUAUAUUUUAAUAUGAAAUUAGGCCCAAACAGGUAUAUCAAAGCGGUAUGUGUGGCGCCUUUGUGAUUCUUCCGAUAUAUAUGGAAUAGAAAACAAACACACAAAAAAAGAAAUUUCAACAUUCUGUCUCUUAUUCAUUCACACGAUUCUCUUUAAUUGGGUGGGCUGCCCUGGGUGACUGGAUUACAAUGCACAGAUAUACAGAAUAGACUGCACUGGCCAACCUUCCAUUCAGCUGCUCCACUUUAAACUGCCCUCAAUUGUUUUACAAAUAAAACACUUUUUAUUGGACUUCUACAGCAGGCUGCUGCUUGAUUCCUGCUUUUGGGGAUUAUACCACUUCAAGCUGUACUAUAGGAGCCAAUAUAGGAGGGUCCUUAACAUGUGAGUGCAAUACUUUACUGAUAUGAAUACUAAGCGUGAUAUACUACACUAUAUUAUUUUCUCUGUUCUACACUAUAUGUCUGACAAGUAUAUCCACUACCAUAAGGAUGGCUUGCUGUAUCACUAUUACACUAUAUCAUUAGGCGGAGAUUAUUCCGCCCAAACACACAAGUUGGAGAUGAAUUGAAGCUCAAGAAAAGUGUAAGUGUUCCU